GCGGGUGUGGCGGAAUUGGCAGACGCACCAGAUUUAGGUUCUGGCGGGCGACCGUGGGGGUUCGAGUCCCUCCACCCGCA
RNAcentral lists this transfer RNA (80 nucleotides) under Alicyclobacillus vulcanalis. RNAcentral describes it as "tRNA_Leu_TAG". It matches the Rfam family "tRNA". Rfam says of the family: Transfer RNA (tRNA) molecules are approximately 80 nucleotides in length. The record is from RNAcentral. RNAcentral also lists the same sequence under 4 other names. Lineage: Bacteria; Bacillati; Bacillota; Bacilli; Caryophanales; Alicyclobacillaceae.